CGGACGACGCUGGCGGCGUGCCUAACACAUGCAAGUCGAACGGGGGGAACAUGAAGUAUUUCGGUACGGAAUGCGCCCCUAGUGGCGAACGGGUGAGUAACACGUGGGCAACCUGCCCCAGACUGGGGGAUAACAUUGUGAAAACAGUGCUAAUACCGCAUGACAGGGUUCCGGGCAUCCGGGACCCUUGAAAGGAGAAAUCCGGUCAGGGAUGGGCCCGCGUCCAAUUAGCUAGUUGGCGGGGUAACGGCCCACCAAGGCGACGAUUGGUAGCCGAACUGAGAGGUUGAUCGGCCACAUUGGGACUGAGACACGGCCCAGACUCCUACGGGAGGCAGCAGUGGGGAAUAUUGGGCAAUGGGCGAAAGCCUGACCCAGCGACGCCGCGUGAAGGAUGAAGGUCUUCGGGUUGUAAACCGCUUUUGUCAGGGAAGAAAUCUUCUGGGUUAAUACCUCGGGAGGAUGACGGUACCUGAAGAAUAAGCACCGGCUAACUACGUG
This 501-nucleotide ribosomal RNA is filed under the name uncultured bacterium. Its description in RNAcentral is "bacterial SSU rRNA". It matches the Rfam family "Bacterial small subunit ribosomal RNA", at positions 33 to 507 of the family's 1533-position model. The record is from RNAcentral.